Molecule: non-coding RNA, 77 nt
Organism: Myotis brandtii (Brandt's bat)
Lineage: Eukaryota; Metazoa; Chordata; Mammalia; Chiroptera; Vespertilionidae
Source: Rfam
GCUGGUUUGGCUCAGUGGAUAGAGCAUCAGUCUGCCUGCGGACUGAAGGGUCCCUGGUUCGAUUCCAGUCAAGGGCA